This 252-nucleotide long non-coding RNA is filed under the name Vigna radiata. RNAcentral's name for it is "long non-coding RNA (VRAD_LNC007262)". The record is from RNAcentral. Lineage: Eukaryota; Viridiplantae; Streptophyta; Magnoliopsida; Fabales; Fabaceae.
CGAACCCAUUUGAAUCCAUAUAAAACCAUGCACAUAUAACCCUUCAACUUUACAUUGCAUACAAACAUAUAUAUAAUACUAAUUACACUUCAAAAGGCCACAAACAAUCCAACAAGUCAUCAAAAGUCUAUGAAAUCAUUCCAUAUACACUACCAGACAAUAACAAUCCCAGAAGAACCACUAAACAAUCCAAUGCCCCUUAAAAUCAUAUUUAGACAAGGAAAACAACUUUAAAACCAUCACCAACAAUUC